RNAcentral lists this long non-coding RNA (864 nucleotides) under Helianthus annuus (common sunflower). Lineage: Eukaryota; Viridiplantae; Streptophyta; Magnoliopsida; Asterales; Asteraceae. The record is from RNAcentral.
ACUCUAAUCAAUCAUCAAUCACUUCAAAAUCUUCUACAAAAUUAUGAACACGUAUCAAAACCCUAAUUGACAGCCGUAUUCAAUCAAAAUUGUAGUUUCUCAUACCUAUCAAAACCCUAAUUGAAACAUCAACCAUGAUAGAGGCAGCGAAACCAGGCAGUGGUUGUGUCUAGCGGCGGCAGUGGUGGUCUAAUGUUGAUGGUGGAGGAGUCGCGACAGCAGUGGGUUUGUGGUACUGGAAUCUUCAUCUCAAUCAUUCCCUACUCCAUCUAAUGUUUUACAGUGAUGCUGACAGCAUUCGUGUUAUGUGGGACAAAUUAACGCCUCGAGAUACCAUGAAGAACGCUGGUGUUCCAACCGUACCAAGAAGUGAUGGGCUAUUACAGCACUGAAGAAGGCAUCAAGUUAGCUGACGAGAUAGGCUUCCCUGUGAUGAUUAAGUCAAAUACAUUGGAAGAACUCAAGCCUUUGUUAAAUCACAAACUGCUGGAUGAAUUGGUUAGCAUCUCGCAUAGAAGGAAGAGUGGUUUUUACUACCAAUGUUCGUGAAGUAGGUAUAUGUGCACUUUAGGAAAGGAAACUUAAGGAACUGAAUCUAGUCAUGAGAAAUAUUACUUGAGAUCUGUAUAAUUUCAUUGAUGGCCUUGCUGACUUGACUUUGUAUACCCUUUUAAUUAGGGAUGAGCAUUUGGUACCGUGUACCAGUACCGAACUGUACCGGUAUAUUCAGUACCGGUACGGGUACCAAUUUUCUCUGUUUUCCGGAACAGGUACCGGUUCGAUACCAAACGGGUACCGUGCUCAUCUCUACUUUUAAUUAGACUUGAUGUCUUGCCUUUGAUGAUCAUGAAUAAGGAAUUUGUU